GAGUUUGAUCCUGGCUCAGAAUCAACGCUGGCGGCGUGCCUAACACAUGCAAGUCGAACGCGAAAGCCCCGCAAGGGGUAAGUAGAGUGGCAGACGGGUGAGUAACGCGUGGGUGACCUACCUUCGAGUGGGGGAUAACGUUCCGAAAGGGACGCUAAUACCGCAUGACAUCCUGCCUUUGAACAGGCGGUGAUCAAAGCCGGAACCGCAAGGUCUGGCGCUUGAUGAGGGGCCCGCGUCCGAUUAGCUAGUUGGUGGGGUAAUGGCUCACCAAGGCGACGAUCGGUAGCCGGCCUAAGAGGGCGGACGGCCACACUGGGACUGAGACACGGCCCAGACUCCUACGGGAGGCAGCAGUGGGGAAUUGUUCGCAAUGGGCGCAAGCCUGACGACGCAACGCCGCGUGGAGGAUGAAGAUCUUCGGGUCGUAAACUCCUGUCGAGCGGGACGAAAGAUCCGCGACCUAAUACGUCGCGGAAGUGACGGUACCGCUAGAGGAAGCCCCGGCUAACUCCGUGCCAGCAGCCGCGGUAAUACGGGGGGGGCUAGCGUUGUUCGGAAUUACUGGGCGUAAAGGGCUCGUAGGUGGCCAACUAAGUCAUGCGUGAAAUCCCUCGGCUUAACCGGGGAACGUCGGCUGAUACUGCUCUUCUUGAGGGAUGCAGAGGAGACUGGAAUUCCCGGUGUAGCGGUGAAAUGUGUAGAGAUCGGGAGGAACACCGGUGGCGAAGGCGGGUCUCUGGGCAUCUCCUGACGCUGAGGCGCGAAAGCGUGGGGAGCAAACGGGAUUAGAUACCCCGGUAGUCCACGCUGUAAACGAUGACGACUAGGUGUGGGGGGGUUCAGUCCUCUCCGUGCCGCAGCUAACGCAUUAAGUCGUCCGCCUGGGGAGUACGGCCGCAAGGUUGAAACUCAAAGGAAUUGACGGGGGCCCGCACAAGCGGUGGAGCAUGUGGUUCAAUUCGAUGCAGAGCGAAGAACCUUACCUGGGCUUGACAUGGCGGAAGUAGAAACCCGAAAGGGGGACGACUCGUUGAGUCGAGAGCCGCCACAGGUGGUGCAUGGCUGUCGUCAGCUCGUGCCGUGAGGUGUUGGGUUAAGUCCCGCAACGAGCGCAACCCUCACUCUAUGUUGCCAACGGUUCGGCCGGGCACUCUUAGAGAACUGCCGGCGAAGAGCUGGAGGAAGGGGGGGAUGACGUCAAGUCCGUAUGCCCUUUAUGCCCAGGGCUACACACAUGCUACAAUGGUCGGUACAGAGGGUUGCCAACCCGCAAGGGGGAGCCAAUCCCAGAGAACCGAUCUCAGUUCGGAUUGUAGGCUGCAACUCGCCUACAUGAAGUCGGAAUCGCUAGUAAGCGCAGAUCAGCAGGCUGCGCUGAAUACGUUCCCGGGCCUUGUACACACCGCCCGUCACACCACGAAAGCUGGCUGUACCAGAAGUCGCCGCGCUAACCGCAAGGAAGCAGGCGCCCAAGGUGUGGUCGGUGAUUGGGGUGAAGUCGUAACAAGGUAACC
Molecule: ribosomal RNA, 1517 nt
Filed under: uncultured Thermanaeromonas sp.
Lineage: Bacteria; Bacillati; Bacillota; Clostridia; Neomoorellales; Neomoorellaceae
Description: bacterial SSU rRNA
Rfam family: Bacterial small subunit ribosomal RNA
Source: RNAcentral